GCCCCUGUGACGCAAUUGGCAGACGUGUCUGGCUUAAACCCAGAAUCUUUGCGAGUUCGAAUCUCGCUGGGGGCA
RNAcentral lists this transfer RNA (75 nucleotides) under Leptolyngbya sp. FACHB-8. RNAcentral's name for it is "tRNA-Leu". It matches the Rfam family "tRNA". Rfam says of the family: Transfer RNA (tRNA) molecules are approximately 80 nucleotides in length. Their secondary structure includes four short double-helical elements and three loops (D, anti-codon, and T loops). RNAcentral also lists the same sequence under 2 other names. The record is from RNAcentral. Lineage: Bacteria; Bacillati; Cyanobacteriota; Cyanophyceae; Leptolyngbyales; Leptolyngbyaceae.